UGGGACGUGGUGCAGGGUGCACCGCUGCAAUCUGUCCUGUAGCACGAUUGUCUACUGCAGCAGGCCGGGGUUCGACUCCCCGCGUCUCAA
Non-coding RNA from Mycena epipterygia, 90 nucleotides. The record is from the annotation of a GenBank genome assembly. NCBI's taxonomy places the organism in Eukaryota, Fungi, Basidiomycota, Agaricomycetes, Agaricales, Mycenaceae.